RNAcentral lists this long non-coding RNA (960 nucleotides) under Cyanistes caeruleus (blue tit). RNAcentral describes it as "lncRNA (ENSCCEG00000023955.1)". The record is from RNAcentral. Lineage: Eukaryota; Metazoa; Chordata; Aves; Passeriformes; Paridae.
CCAUCAUCGCUUUGUGAUCCUCCCACUGUUUUCCUCACUUUUAAACCACAGUCUCCUGUCUCUGCAAAGGGCUGUUCUUUCUUCAGUCUCUGUUUUGCGGUGGGGAAGCAAUUGCAAGGCUGUGACUGUGGCACAGGCUGUGGAUGCAGCUCGUAAGAAGAGGACGAUCAGAGGGGAGAAAAUACUGUUCUUGCUCCUCUGAAUUCUAAAGAAGAAGAGAAUCAGAGUCUUGUAUCUCUGAAGAUGGCAUCUUCUAUAGCUACUGAUUCAGUGGUUGAAUUCUGCUGUGGCACUACAAUGUGAAUAAAUGUGGCUUGCUGUAGAUUUGGAUGCUGAGCCCUGCCUGAAUUCUGAACUCCCGAGUACCUUCAGAGACUUAGCAUGGCUCUUGCAGAAGAUAAAGCAAGGCUAUGGGACAGUCUUGUGGCAGGACCUUUCUAGGUAAGGAACCCGUAAGUCAAAGGCUGCUGCUAACAUUUGUUUCCUUGCAAGGGUCCAGCUAACGGCUAGUGGAGGUGCACAACUGAACUAUUUCUCCAGCUGUGCCCGCCAGAAGCAUUUUGCUCUUGCUUUCAGAUGAGUUUUCCAGUGAGGGAGCUGUCGGUGCUUGCUGUGAGGGGAGCAUCCCUACUCGCUGUGCUCUGGGAGGAAGCCAGAUCAUGUGCAAAGGUAGCAAGGCCCCUUUUGUGAGACCCAGCCAAACAGUCUGAGUUUGACAUUACAAAAGCUACCGAGUGCUGUAGGAGCUGAGGUUUCGUUUGCAAGAGGAUCUUUCAGCUUUGACUGAUAGCUGAUAAUUUGUGCAGGGGUAAUAGAACACAGCCAGCAGUGUGCAGAGCCCCAGAGCCAAUGGCUAUGGCUCUGGAGCAGCACUGGUGUGCCUGACCUACAACCAAACCCUGCUCAGCACAGGGUGUUCAGCUACCCUGAACUUCAUUUGACACUAAUGUAAGGGCAGGG